Long non-coding RNA from Lolium perenne, 1651 nucleotides. RefSeq lists it as uncharacterized. The record is from RefSeq and is a predicted model, not a curated record. NCBI's taxonomy places the organism in Eukaryota, Viridiplantae, Streptophyta, Magnoliopsida, Poales, Poaceae.
AUUUCUUGGCAAUUGGCUGCAGGUGUAUAUGCACCUUAGUUUGAGAGAUUUUUGGAUACCAACAAGAAACUGGAGGUCGGGAGAAAUAAAGUCCUCAACCAAAUAAGAUAUUUUGCGGCGUCGUCCUCACCGGAAGCAGCACCGCCUCUGCCCCGUGCGACAUUGUCGUCCCCAUCAAGCCGCACCAGAGGGAGAUGCUUAGCUGCGGCCACACAAACGGAUGGGGACGUCAAGCCAAGCUGGUGGCUGGUGGCCUACCAUCGUGUCAACUUACACAGAAUAGGAGCAGAGGAAUCUUGAGCGCGGCGUCCAGACCUGGAGUGGAGGACAUGGGUCGCCAUGAAGCAAUUGCCCCUUCGUUGUGAAGUUGCAGGUGUGUACAUAAGCUUUUUGUGUAAAUGCCUAAGAGCAAAGACCUCUCCUGGAAGAAUGCUCACAGCUCAGCUUGAAUUUGUUAUGAUGUUGUGAUGAACUUGCAGCAAUGAAGUGAUUUGGGUAACGUCUUGCUUUUUAAAAUGUCUUUCAUGUACUUCUGUGGCAUUGAAGGAGCGAGGCAAUUCCUCCCAAUAUAGAAUUUGCAGCGGAUGAAGAUGCUAGAAGUACAGGUUAUAUUGUCUUAUGAAUUGUCUAAGGAAGUCCUAUAUUAUUUAUCUGUUGCUUGACCAAUGGUUUGUCGAACUGAAACAGUAUGGCCAUGUGCCCAUGUGCCCAUGUUAUUUCUUUGUUUGCCAAAAUAAAUUUAACUUCCGAUCACAAAAUAAAAGAAUGUCCAUGGAUAUCUCUUCGCAUUGGUUUAAUUCUGUAUCCUGAAACAGCUACUGAACAAUGACUAUUGAUAAAGCUGUUAUGAACACCCUCUUAGUUACAAUCAUAUUUUGUGAAACUGCUUUUACACCGACUUUCCUAGAACUGGUAAUGAGUAUAUAUUUUUAACGCUUAAUGCAAUGCAGAUUUGUAGGGUAUCAAGAAACAAAGGUAUUGUUAGUUAUAUUCUGUUGUAGUAAUGUAGUGCCCGGAAUUAGAUGUACCAUAUUCUCAUUAGCUUUGGCCUAAAUAAGAACUAUUAGAAAGGUUUGGGUGUUACUUCAGUUACAAUUUACACUGUCUUCCUUUAGAAAAUAGUUAUGUUAUGGCUUGCACUAUUGUUCCUUUCUUCAGAGAUAAAAUGCUUCAUGUGGUCGUCCGUGUAAUUAAAUUGGAGAGAAACAUGAAGAAGUUUGAUGGCACCCAUUCUUAGGUUGAAAAUUGACUGUCCGAUCCAUUACUUGCUUUUUUUUUUGCUUUAUCACUUUAUUAUGUAGUUCCUGAUUUUGGAAGAUGUAUUAUCUGGUCAUCGCUUGCAUUUGACUACAUUUGUGCGAUUUGUAAUGUAAUUCAUCCAGUAUACCGGUUAUACAUUUGGUAGCAAAUUUGAAUUUUCUCGGAUAUACAUAUAUCAGAUUUAUUCAUUUGGUUUAGAGUCCAAUCUCUUGGCAUGUGCUAUAUGAUAUGUACUUAAACACCCAAAAGGGUCUCAAAAGGGUCUUAUGUUGGUGGCCGACAAUCUGUUCUUCUACUUGUGAGUAUUGUAGAGUGCUACAGGUGUGCCCUCCGAUUAAUAGUAUACAUUCAGUAUAUUUAGCUUUCUUUCAAAUUGCGCAUUUGUUUCAGU